RNAcentral lists this long non-coding RNA (222 nucleotides) under Physcomitrium patens. RNAcentral's name for it is "long non-coding RNA (PPAT_LNC013075)". The record is from RNAcentral. Lineage: Eukaryota; Viridiplantae; Streptophyta; Bryopsida; Funariales; Funariaceae.
GAUACAUAUGACUGCAGAAUUAACAGUCUGUUCGGUUCUUGAUAUGUUCGGAUGCGCCGACAAGCUUGCAACCAUAGUUUAAUCUAAUUCUGUCGAUGCUUCUUUUUAAGAUUACGUUCUUACUCCUCUCUAAGCAAGUUCUUUCCUUGCGCUGUCAUAUUGUAAAUGCUUACAGUAUGUAAAAAUUAAUUAGAACAUAUUAUAUGUUAGUAAAUCUAGAUA